RNAcentral lists this long non-coding RNA (622 nucleotides) under Ananas comosus (pineapple). RNAcentral describes it as "long non-coding RNA (ACOM_LNC002177)". The record is from RNAcentral. Lineage: Eukaryota; Viridiplantae; Streptophyta; Magnoliopsida; Poales; Bromeliaceae.
UUGAUUUAAAAUUUAAGUGAUGUAUUAUCGUUUUCCAUAAUUUAAAUUAUUUUUGAAGAUUUAUAUAGAGAUUACUUAUUUGUUGGAAAAUGAUGCAAAUCUUAUGAUGUUAGUGGUCCUACUAUUGUGCAAGUACUGGGUGUAGUGGGCUAAGAUCAUGGAAAUAGUGGAUUAGUGCCUUAAUUUGUGUAAGUAGUGGGUAAUGUUGUGGAGUUCAUGGUAGCUAGUUUCUAGGAGCACAUGUGUAGUGGAUGUAGUGGAGAACAUGUGUUGAGUUAGGUUUUCUUAAGCCUCAAGUUUCUUCUUUUAUUUAAGUCCUUUAAUUGUAAGCCUUUAGCAAUCAAGUUUUUUGAAUGAAAAGUGUUUAUUUUUCCUUCCACUUAAUUGCUGUAGCAAAGUGUAUUAGCAAGCCUUAAAUUACUUUCAAAAGCAACUUCCAUCUACAUUAUUCACUAGGUAAAUAAUAUUAAAAAUUGUAAUAUUUAAUUUUCUACAUAUUUUUAAUAAUGCAAGUCGUAUCUAACAGAAUCAAUUAUCGAUUCAAAUGUCCCACACAAUAAAAGUCUGAAGCUUCUGUUUUUCUAAACACUGAAAGUGAAUUCAAUCGAUACAUUCCCAAAUU